RNAcentral lists this ribosomal RNA (197 nucleotides) under uncultured bacterium. RNAcentral describes it as "partial 16S ribosomal RNA". It matches the Rfam family "Bacterial small subunit ribosomal RNA", at positions 328 to 539 of the family's 1533-position model. The record is from RNAcentral.
ACGCUCGACACCUACGGGGGGCAGCAGUGGGGAAUAUUGCACAAUGGGGGAAACCCUGAUGCAGCGACGCCGCGUGAGUGAAGAAGUAAUUCGUUAUGUAAAGCUCUAUCAGCAGGGAAGAAAGUGACGGUACCUGAGUAAGAAGCCCCGGCUAACUACGUGCAGCAGCCGCGGUAAUCUGAGCGGGCUGGCAAGGC